Molecule: small RNA, 532 nt
Filed under: Oryza sativa Japonica Group (Japanese rice)
Lineage: Eukaryota; Viridiplantae; Streptophyta; Magnoliopsida; Poales; Poaceae
Description: sRNA Os02g0287950
Source: RNAcentral
UCGUUGGGUACCUGAUGGAGCUGCGAGUGCAGGUUCGGGGGCAGAUCGGGCGGCUUCCGCGCGGGGGGCAGCAGCGGGGAGACGACGCCGAAGCGUAGCUCGUCGGGCGGGGGCGGGAACUCCGCCCUGAGGAGGCGGCCGUUGCGGCAGUCGAAGACCACGGCGGAGACGUCGGCGCCGCCGAGCGCGAACCCGCCGAGGCGGCGGAGCACGGGGGCGAGCUCCGGGGGCUGGGGAAGCGGCACGAACGCCGGCUGCUCGUCCCGGCGCGCGGUGUGGUAGAAGCCGAGGAGGCGGGGCGGGUUGCGGGCGCGGAAGCGGCGGAGGAAGGACGAGUCGGAGGCGAGGCCGAGCCAGCGGGAGGAGACGAGGGCGGCGCGGACGAGCGUGGUGGGGAAGGCGAGGCGGAGGAGGAUCUCGCGGAGGAGGUCGUCGUCGGCGAGCACCGACGAGGCCGCAGAAGCCGCCGGUGGCGGAGAGGAGGGACGCGUCGCCUCGUCUUCCAUUUGCAUGCGAUCGAGGAGGUAUUGGA